AUUGAACGCUGGCGGCAUGCCUUACACAUGCAAGUCGAGCGCGAAAGGGGGCAACCCCGAGUAGAGCGGCGGACGGGUGAGUAACGCAUCGGAACGUGCCCAGUAGUGGGGGACAACCUCGAGAAAUCGAGGCUAAUACCGCAUACGACCCGCGGGUGAAAGCGGGGGACCGCAAGGCCUCGCGCUAUUGGAGCGGCCGAUGUCCGAUUAGCUAGUUGGCGGGGUAAGAGCCCACCAAGGCGACGAUCGGUAGCUGGUCUGAGAGGACGACCAGCCACACUGGGACUGAGACACGGCCCAGACUCCUACGGGAGGCAGCGAGU
RNAcentral lists this ribosomal RNA (323 nucleotides) under uncultured bacterium. RNAcentral describes it as "bacterial SSU rRNA". It matches the Rfam family "Bacterial small subunit ribosomal RNA", at positions 29 to 355 of the family's 1533-position model. The record is from RNAcentral.